Molecule: transfer RNA, 66 nt
Filed under: Loxodonta africana (African savanna elephant)
Lineage: Eukaryota; Metazoa; Chordata; Mammalia; Proboscidea; Elephantidae
Rfam family: tRNA
About the family: Transfer RNA (tRNA) molecules are approximately 80 nucleotides in length. Their secondary structure includes four short double-helical elements and three loops (D, anti-codon, and T loops). Further hydrogen bonds mediate the characteristic L-shaped molecular structure. tRNAs have two regions of fundamental functional importance: the anti-codon, which is responsible for specific mRNA codon recognition, and the 3' end, to which the tRNAs corresponding amino acid is attached (by aminoacyl-tRNA synthetases). tRNAs cope with the degeneracy of the genetic code in two manners: having more than one tRNA (with a specific anti-codon) for a particular amino acid; and 'wobble' base-pairing, i.e. permitting non-standard base-pairing at the 3rd anti-codon position.
Source: Rfam by way of RNAcentral
GGUAGAAUCCCUCAGUGGUAGAGUUCCUGCCUUCCAUGCAAGAGGCCUGGGUUCAAUUCCCAGCCA